UUCAAUUUGAACUUUGAUUUGAAUUAUAUCUUAAUGAAAUUAACUCAAAAUUUAUGGAAUGUUGACUGUGUAGUAUCCUGUUACAUCUGGUGCAUUCCAACAGUUCAUGGUAAGAGGCAGUAAUUCAAAAUUUGGAACAGAGGAACAAUGACCUUUAUCGAAAUAGAAUAUGGCAUUGCUUUGAAUUAGGAAUGGUGUGUUGUUAUUAAUGGGAUCUUCAUGAGGGUGAACUUCAUUUUGAAUUAUAUGCUACGGGAGGGCAAUUCAGUUAUGGAUGGGCUUAUGCAGAUAAGAAGUUCAAGCAACAACAACUCCUUCGUUAUAUGCUGCAGGAGGGUAAUUCAGUUGUGCUAAGGAUAAUUGUUCAAGUCGAAGGAUGCCCAGAUUUUGGCAUGUUUUAAGAAUUCAGAAUGACUAUAUUUUUUUUAUUCUUUUUUGGUUUAUAACAAAUGUACAUUUUGUAUAAUAUACAUGCCUUAUACGAUAGGUGGGGUCUUUUUUUUUUUUGUGGGGCCUAUCCUAGUUCAUGUACAUUUUGUGCAACUAUAGGUCCAUUAUACGAUACGCGAGGAAGGUGAACUCCAUUUCUUCUUUUUUUUCUUUUUUUUUUUGUGGGGCCCACUUGAAUUAAUAUACAUUUUGUGUUGUUUAAAUGCAUUAUACGUUAUGUGAGGCAUGUUUCUUUUUUGUGGGUCUUCAAGAAUUCAUGUACAGUAAUUUUGAAAAUUGAUGAAAUUACAUAUUAAAAUU
Long non-coding RNA from Magnolia sinica, 750 nucleotides. RefSeq lists it as uncharacterized. The transcript is spliced from 2 exons. The record is from RefSeq and is a predicted model, not a curated record. Lineage: Eukaryota; Viridiplantae; Streptophyta; Magnoliopsida; Magnoliales; Magnoliaceae.